This is a long non-coding RNA of Trifolium pratense (red clover), 113 nucleotides long. RefSeq lists it as uncharacterized. NCBI's taxonomy places the organism in Eukaryota, Viridiplantae, Streptophyta, Magnoliopsida, Fabales, Fabaceae. The transcript has 2 exons. The record is from RefSeq and is a predicted model, not a curated record.
UCCGAUGCCAAAGUCAGACAAGGAAUAUAGAGAGCAAAGAGACGAAAUGGAAACUAUUGCCGAGCGCAUGCUGAAGGCCAAGCAGGAUGAGAAGGCGAGCAGGUCUGCUCGAG